Gossypium arboreum is the source of this 1787-nucleotide RNA transcript. RefSeq lists it as uncharacterized. The transcript has 7 exons. The record is from RefSeq and is a predicted model, not a curated record. Lineage: Eukaryota; Viridiplantae; Streptophyta; Magnoliopsida; Malvales; Malvaceae.
AAUAAAAAAGGAAACCUAAUUUCUGUCCAGUCAAUUGCCACAGCUGGACGCCAUCCCUUGUCUUUUCAUUUAACCUUUCCAGUUUUAAUGAUAGCAAUUCCCCAAAAAUCCUUUACUCUUCUGCUAUCAAUUUCUUUGAAGACCUUCUUUCAUCUUAACUCUGCUGCUCUCAAUCUAGCUUUCUUGGUCUCCGAUUCUCCCUCUCGCGAUGAGCAUGGCCUGGAUCCUCCCCUGCAGAUUGACCAUAAUCCACAACAAAAGAGAUGACAUUAUUCUAUAUUUCCUCGACUGAAUGCUCAGGACAGUACCGGAAGAUUUGGUUACUGUCUUCUUCGGAGUUGUGACAUCUGGGACAAAGAGCUGCUAUUACCAUUUUUCAUUUUUUAUUCUUGAGAUUAGUUAAAGUAGGAAUAUAAUUCUAAGAAAUUCUCCAAAUUGUUAAUUUAAUUUUUGAAGGGAGAUGUAUAUUCCAUAAUUUCCUACAGAAAUCUCUAGUCUCGGCCUGUAAAAAAUUAUCACUAGGACCCGAAUUAGCCUCUUGUAGUAGUUUAUUGUUAAUUUAAUUUUUGAAGGGAGAUGUAUAUUCCAUAAUUUCCUACAGAAAUCUCUAGUCUUGGCCUGUAAAAAAUUAUCACUGGGACCCGAAUUAGCCUCCUGUAGUAGUUUAUAAGCACUCCUGACUAAGAAUUCUCCUGACGGUUCCCUUCUCGACACUUGGAAGUCUUCAUGAACUGUCUCUGCCAAAGGGAUCUAUAGAAUCUUCUUUGCAAUGUCCACAUUAAAGCUCCCGAUGUCCAUAAAUUGCCCUAAAUAGAGAUACGAUCUCUUGUGCCUACCCUCCAACAUAAUCCUUUCUCCAAAACUCCUUUUACUGCCCAACACUCUUCCAGGAGUUAAUCAAGGGGUUGUUGCUUUUGAAUCGACGCUGUGAUUGUGUGAAGUCGUGGUUACUCAAGUGAGGUAAUCCCGAGACUUAGACGGAUCAGUGCGAUAGAGGACUCAGCGGUGACCACGGUAUUAGAGCCACAUGAUUCUCUAUGGCCGGUGAUGGGAUGUCUACUAGGCUUUAAAAGGCGAUUGGACACGUACAAUAAUCGAUGAAUCAACUUUAGGUGGAGCUAACAUAGAUAGAUACCAAGUUUGACAGUCUAUUGAAGGAGCUUCGUGAUGGUGUGCGAGACGAGAUCAAGUCCGAGGUACAGAGCUUAUUUGAACAGUACUUGGGGCACCUAUAUUCUAUAGAUGUUGUAGGAUCAUUUUAAGAUAAGGGUAAGGGUAUCUUGGGAAUCCCUCUUUCUAGGUUUCUAUUAAAGAUACUCAAAUGGUUUGACCAAUGGUGGAAUUUGGAAGUUUAAAAACUCUUACUCGUGGUGGAUGCUUGGAGAGUCAAGUUCAUUCAUAUAAACUUGAUUGCCCCAAAUUUGAUGGCACAAACUAUUGAGGUUGGUGGUCAAAAAUCAAGUAGUACUUUGAGGCUGAGAGAGUAGCUGAUAGUGUUAAGGUUCACAUUGUAAUGCUUCAUUUGGAGGGGAAGGCUCUAGAUUGACACCACUUCUACACUUAGAGGCAAAGGGGUUUUCAUUUGCUAACACGGGAUAGCUACUCUCAUAACUUGAAGGAAUGAUUUGGAUCUAACUUAUUCAGGGAUCGUAUGGUAGAUUUGGUCUCUUUGAAGUAGGUGAACUUUGUUGAUCAAUACCAUGAUGAGUUUGUAAGUUUGUUGAACUAGCUCCAUUUACCUAAGAAUUAUGAAUUGAACAUCUUUAUUAACAGUCUUAAUCUUGAAA